Molecule: long non-coding RNA, 3113 nt
Filed under: Homo sapiens (human)
Lineage: Eukaryota; Metazoa; Chordata; Mammalia; Primates; Hominidae
Description: HSALNT0327108
Source: RNAcentral
CUUGUUCAAUUCUAUUGCUGAGACUUUCCAGUGCAUUUUGCAUUUCUCUAAGUGUGUCCUUCAUUUCCAGAAUUUGUGAUUGUCUUUUGUUUAUGUUAUCUAUUUCACUGGAGAUUUUUCCAUUCAUAUCCUGUAUCAUUGUUUUUAUUUCUUUAAGCUGAACUUCGUAUUUCUCUGGUGCCUCCUUGAUUAGCUUAAUAAUCGACCUUCUGAAUUCUUCUCCUGGCAAUUCAGAGAUUUUAUCUUUGCUGGUGAGCUAGUAUAAUCUUUUGGGGGUAUUAAAUAAUCUUGUUUUGUCAUAUUACCAGAAUUGUUUUUCUGGUUCCUUCUUUUUUGGGUAGACUAUGUCAGAGGAAAGAUCUGGGACUCAAGGGCUGCUGUUCAGAUUCUUUUGUCCCACGAAGUGCUCCCUUGAUUUGGUGCUUUCCCCCUUCUUCUAGGGAUGGGGCAUCCUGAGAGCCAAACUGCCAUUAUUGUUAUUUCUGUUCUGGAUUUAGCCACUCAGCGGAGCUACUGGGCUCCAGGCCGGUACUGGGGAAUAUCUGCAAAGAGUCCUGUGAUGUUAUCCGUCUUCAGGUCUUUCAGCCAUGGAUACAAGCACCUGCUCUGGUGGAGGUAGCAGGGAACUGAAGUAGACUCUGUGAGGGGUCCGUGGUUGUAUUUUUAAGUGCACUGAUUUUGUGUUGGCUGGCCUCCAGCCAAAAGGUAGCACUUUCAAAAGUGCAUCAGCUGCAGUAGUAUAGGGAGGAUACAAGCUUGCCCAAGUAUCAGGUGGUGGGCAGGGCUAUAGAGCUCCCAAGAGAUUAUGUCCUUUGUCUCCAGCUACCAGGGUGGGUGGAGAAAGAUCAUCACGUUGAGGCGGGGUUAGGCUGUCUGAGUUCAGACUCUCCUUGGGUGGAGCUUGCUGCAGCUGCUGUGGGGGAUGGAGUUGUGGUUUCCCAGGCCAGUGGAGUUAUGGUCCCAGAGGGAUUAUGGCUGCCACUGCUGCAUCACACAGGUUGCCAGGAAAGUGGGGGAAACCCGGCAACCACAGGCCUCACCCGUCUCCCAUGCAGCCCAAAAGUCCAGUCUCACUCCCACCAUGUCCCCGCAAACAGCACUGAAUUUAUUUCCAGGCAACCAGUGAGCAAGGCUGAGAACUUGUCCCAGGUUACGAGACUCCCAGGUACAGUCAUGUGCCGCAUAAUGACAUUCAGUCAAUGACAGACUGCAUAUAUGAGGUGGUCCUGUAAGGUGAUAAUGGAGCUGAAAAAUUCCUACUACUGAACGACAUCAUAGCCAUUGUAACAUCAUAGCACAACCAAUCACCUUUUCUAUAUUUAGCAAGAUGGCUACAGAAGUUCUGGAAAUAUACCAGACGUGGCAAUGCUGCAGAGGAAGGAGGGAGAAUAUGCCUUUCUGCAGAUCUUUCUUGGAGGAGAGGCAAGUUUCUCCAAAAUUACUCAGAUGAUUUCCCCUCAUGUGUCUCUGGCUGGAAUUAGGUCACAUGGCCAUUCCUGAACAAAAAGACAAGGAAAAUAAGACUUUUCUUAUACCCAGCCACUCCUGGGGCUGGGAGUAAGGUCAGAUUUUUCCAGGUACAUGGGCUGUGUUAAACAGUGGGGAAAUACCUCAAUAAAAUCGGGGUUCUGUUAGAAGGAAAGAAAGGAGGAGGUAACCAGUGUUACCUCAGGACCAAACCCCAAAGGGUGUUUGGGAUGGGGGAGCUGUGAAGCAUUCAGUUUGGUAAAAGCAACCUGGAGGUUAUCAGGGUUAGUGGCCUCCUUCUAGCAGCAUGGCUGUGGGUGGCUCUAAGUCUCUAGGGAAGUCCCCAUUCGGUUCAGUGCCACACCCAGUGCAUUUUGGGACUGAGGCUAUUGGUGGGCUCAUGCUGAAGGGCCUGCUGUGGCAUCCCCAAUUCCUCAUGGCCUGGGCAGGGCACACAGACACCCAGAGGUUCCCACAUGCCCUGCCAAGAGGUCAAAGAGGGGCUGCGCGGUCCAGUGGACCAGCACAGAGUUUGGAGUAGAAUGUCAUGAGUCUUCUUCCUCUCUCUAGAAAUAUUCCCAGCUCCUUUGUGUCUUCUCUACAGCCUGCGGCUGAGCUUUGCCCAUCCCCAUGAAGACUCCAUUGUGUCAGGGGACUGCUUUUGCCCACACCUGAGUCCUUGCUUUUUGCCCCAUUUGGGGAACACCCAUCUGGCAUGGCCAAUACCUUCAGGGCUUCACCCCUAGGCCUCUGUGCAGAAUCAAAGGCCUAGGUACAAUUUGGCUUUGGUAUUUUUUCCUCCACUUCUGUAAAAACAUCUAACGAAACCAUGGCAAACAUCCAUCAGCAUCAAAUUUCUUUCCUGUUAAUAGAUCAUUCUGAGUCGCAUUCUCUUAUUUUGCUUUUCUUUAAAUUAACUCAAACUAUUCCUGCGCUCUCAGAGUGAAGUGUCCAAGGUGGCCAAUACUGCACCUGUGCCACCUCACUUAUUCUGUCUCCCGGUGACAGUCACAACUUUCCUAUUGAAACAAGAAAGCACCCAGCCAGGACCCCAUCUCCGUGUAUUCAGGCAGGAACCACUUACCCUGGCUCGGAAGUCCCUCCUGCCAUGCACACUGGAAAUCCCCAGGGCUGACCCUCCGCAGCAGCCUUUCCUGAAUUGCCGUGUAGCUUCCUCAGACUUCCUGCCUGCCCCCACCCCAUCCUUUCUCCUCAAAGCCUUGUUUCUGCAGUCACCUUUUCCGUCAUUAUUCACGUCAUACCUCACAUUGCUCCCGAGUUUCCUGAAUUCAGUGGUAAGGGGUAUGCUCUCACCUUCAUCUUCUGUGUCCCUCAACCCUACUCAUCUCUGCCUAUCAUAUCCCCCUUCCACCAACAGAUCCCAUUCCUAAGAAUGCUGCCCCACCACUCCCUUGGGUGUCCUUCCCCCUUCCUUGGUUCCAUAUCCCCUGUAACACAAUAGACCAAUCCCUUUAGAAAAGUCUUAACUGAGCCCUGAUGGAUGACCCAGGUCAAAGUUUCCAAAGGCCAGUCUACCCACUAGAUUCUGAUCUGUAUCAGAACUACCUGGGGAGUUUUUGAAAAGGCACACUCAGCUGGGUACAGUGGCUCACGCCUGUAAUCCCGGCAAUUUGGGAAGCUGAGGC